GCACUUGUAGUUCAACGGAUAGAAUAUAAGAUUCCGAUUCUUAAGAUUAGGGUUCGAUUCCCUACAAGUGUAC
RNAcentral lists this transfer RNA (73 nucleotides) under Prevotella pallens. RNAcentral's name for it is "tRNA-Arg(ccg)". It matches the Rfam family "tRNA". Rfam says of the family: Transfer RNA (tRNA) molecules are approximately 80 nucleotides in length. Their secondary structure includes four short double-helical elements and three loops (D, anti-codon, and T loops). Lineage: Bacteria; Pseudomonadati; Bacteroidota; Bacteroidia; Bacteroidales; Prevotellaceae. The record is from RNAcentral.